GGCAUUAUGGCUCAGUUGGCUAAAACACCUGCUUCAUAAACAGGAGAUCCUGGGUUCAAGUCCCAAUGGUGCCU
This 74-nucleotide transfer RNA is filed under the name Pelodiscus sinensis (Chinese soft-shelled turtle). It matches the Rfam family "tRNA". Rfam says of the family: Transfer RNA (tRNA) molecules are approximately 80 nucleotides in length. Their secondary structure includes four short double-helical elements and three loops (D, anti-codon, and T loops). Lineage: Eukaryota; Metazoa; Chordata; Testudines; Trionychidae. The record is from Rfam by way of RNAcentral.